GACCCGCACAAGUAGUGGAGCAUGUGGUUUAAUUCGAUGAUACGCGAGGAACCUUACCAGGGCUUAAAUGCAGAGCGAAUAGUUUGGAAACAGACUAGCCUUCGGGCGAUCUGCAAGGUGCUGCAUGGCUGUCGUCAGCUCGUGCCGUGAGGUGUUGGUUAAGUCCCGCAACGAGCGCAACCCCUAUCUUUAGUUGCCAGCGAGUAAUGUCGGGGACUCUAAAGAAACUGCCUACGCAAGUAGAGAGGAAGGCGGGGACGACGUCAAGUCAUCACGGCCCUUACGUCCUGGGCCACACACGUGCUACAAUGGUCGGUACAGAGGGCAGCUACCGGGUGACCGGAUGCG
RNAcentral lists this ribosomal RNA (348 nucleotides) under uncultured bacterium. RNAcentral describes it as "bacterial SSU rRNA". It matches the Rfam family "Bacterial small subunit ribosomal RNA", at positions 918 to 1269 of the family's 1533-position model. The record is from RNAcentral.